Hordeum vulgare subsp. vulgare (domesticated barley) is the source of this 81-nucleotide non-coding RNA. The record is from Rfam. Lineage: Eukaryota; Viridiplantae; Streptophyta; Magnoliopsida; Poales; Poaceae.
GCCUUGAUGGUGAAAUGGUAGACACGCGAGACUCAAAAUCUCGUGCUGGAGAGCGUGGAGGUUCGAGUCCUCUUCAAGGCA